UUGAAUUUGAGAGAGUAUUCUCUUGGAUUAUCCAGGUGGGCCCAAUGUCAUCAUAAGGGUCCUUGAAAGGGAAAGA
This is a non-coding RNA of Ceratotherium simum simum (southern white rhinoceros), 76 nucleotides long. NCBI's taxonomy places the organism in Eukaryota, Metazoa, Chordata, Mammalia, Perissodactyla, Rhinocerotidae. The record is from RefSeq and is a predicted model, not a curated record.